Molecule: ribosomal RNA, 492 nt
Filed under: uncultured bacterium
Lineage: Bacteria
Description: partial 16S ribosomal RNA
Rfam family: Bacterial small subunit ribosomal RNA
Source: RNAcentral
CGACCGCUGGCGGCGUGCUUACCACAUGCAAGUCGAACGGUGAAGCGCCUUCCUUUUUGGUGGGUGUGGAUGAGUGGCGAACGGGUGAGUAACACGUGAGUAACCUGCCCCCUUCUUCUGGAUAACCGCAUGAAAGUGUGGCUAAUACGGGAUAUUCUGGGUCUGUCGCAUGAUGGGUCUGGGAAAGAUAUUGUUUCGGUGGGGGAUGGGCUCGCGGCCUAUCAGCUUGUUGGUGGGGUGAUGGCCUACCGAGGCGGUGACGGGUAGCCGGCCUGAGAGGGUGGACGGUCACACUGGGACUGAGACACGGCCCAGACUCCUACGGGAGGCAGCAGUGGGGAAUAUUGCACAAUGGGCGCAAGCCUGAUGCAGCGACGCCGCGUGAGGGAUGGAGGCCUUCGGGUUGUGAACCUCUUUCGCCAGUGAAGCAGGCCUGCCUCGUUUGUGGGUGGGUUGACGGUAGCUGGAUAAGAAGCGCCGGCUAACUACGUG